CGCACAUUGCGCCCUUUGGCAUUCCGAAGGGCAUGCCUGUUCGAGCGUCAUUAUCAACCUUCAAACCCCGUGUUUGGCGUUGGGCCUACGUCGUGCCAGCUCGCGACCGGCUCCAAAGACAAUGACGGCGUCCGUGGGACCCUCGGUGCAACGAGCUUUUUCCAAAGCACGCGUCGAAGCGGAUCUGCGGGGGCCGGUCUCUGAUGUUCCACAUCACUUCUCAGGUUGACCUCGGAUCAGGUAGGGAUACCCGCUGAACUUAA
Molecule: unclassified non-coding RNA, 263 nt
Filed under: Brycekendrickomyces acaciae
Lineage: Eukaryota; Fungi; Ascomycota; Eurotiomycetes; Chaetothyriales; Trichomeriaceae
Description: partial contains 5.8S ribosomal RNA, internal transcribed spacer 2, and large subunit ribosomal RNA
Source: RNAcentral